GACGAACGCUGGCGGCGUGCUUAACACAUGCAAGUCGAACGGCAAGGCCCUGCUUGCAUGGUCCUCGAGUGGCGAACGGGUGAGUAACACGUGGGUGAUCUGCCCUGCACUUCUUGAUAAGCCUGGGCAACUGGGUCUAAUCCCUGAUAGGACCCAUUUUUUGUGUGUUGGUUGGAAAGUUUUUUCGGUGUAGGAUGAGCUCGCGGCCUAUCAGCUUGUUGGGGGGGUAAUGGCCUACCAAGGCGCCGACGGGUAGCCGGCCUGAGAGGGUGGACGGCCACAUUGGGACUGAGAGAAGGCACAGACGCCGAAGGGAGGAAGAAGGGGGGAAGAUUGCACAAGGGGCGCAAGCCGGAUGCAGAGAGGCCGCGGGGGGGAUGACGGCCUUCGGGGUGUAAAAACCUUGCGCGAGGGAAGAAGCUUUUUGUGACGGUACCUAGAUAAGAAGCACCGGCUAACUACGUG
Molecule: ribosomal RNA, 465 nt
Filed under: uncultured bacterium
Lineage: Bacteria
Description: partial 16S ribosomal RNA
Rfam family: Bacterial small subunit ribosomal RNA
Source: RNAcentral